GAUGAACGCUGGCUACAGGCUUAACACAUGCAAGUCGAGGGGAAACGACGGGGAAGCUUGCUUCCCCGGGCGUCGACCGGCGCACGGGUGAGUAACGCGUAUCCAACCUGCCUCUGACUGAGGGAUAACCCGUCGAAAGUCGGCCUAAUACCUCAUGGUAUCGUCUGCGGGCAUCCAACGACGAUUAAAGAUUUCAUCGGUCAGGGAUGGGGAUGCGUCUGAUUAGCUUGUCGGCGGGGUAACGGCCCACCAAGGCUACGAUCAGUAGGGGUUCUGAGAGGAAGGUCCCCCACAUUGGAACUGAGACACGGUCCAAACUCCUACGGGAGGCAGCAGUGAGGAAUAUUGGUCAAUGGGCGAGAGCCUGAACCAGCCAAGUAGCGUGCAGGAAGACGGCCCUAUGGGUUGUAAACUGCUUUUAUGCGGGGAUAAAGUGAGGGACGUGUCCCUCAUUGCAGGUACCGCAUGAAUAAGGACCGGCUAAUUCCGUG
Molecule: ribosomal RNA, 491 nt
Filed under: uncultured bacterium
Lineage: Bacteria
Description: partial 16S ribosomal RNA
Rfam family: Bacterial small subunit ribosomal RNA
Source: RNAcentral